CGCGUAUGCAACCUACCUAUCGGAGGGGGAUAGUCUAUGGAAACGUAGAAUAAUACCCCAUACGCUCUUAGUAUUUCAUGGUACAAAGAGGAAAGCUCCGGCGCUGACAGAUGGGCAUGCGUAUCAUUAGCUAGUUGGUAAGGUAACGGCUUACCAAGGCAACGAUGAUUAGCUGGUCUGAGAGGAUGAUCAGCCACACGGGCACUGAGACACGGGCCCG
This 220-nucleotide ribosomal RNA is filed under the name uncultured bacterium. RNAcentral describes it as "partial 16S ribosomal RNA". It matches the Rfam family "Bacterial small subunit ribosomal RNA", at positions 114 to 334 of the family's 1533-position model. The record is from RNAcentral.